GAAUAGGAUCAGGCGAUUGAGCUGGAUUUGGACCGGUAGGAACUUCUCUUUUGAUUUCUCGAAUGGAAUUGUAAUGAUAAGAUUUGUCCAUGCUAGAAGGUGGAUCAGGUGAUUGAGCUGGAUUUGGACCGGUAGGAACUUCUCUUUUGAUUUCUCGAAUGGAAUUGUAAUGAUAAGAUUUGUCCAUGCUAGAAGGUGGAUCAGGUGAUUGAGCUGGAUUUGGACCGGUAGGAACUUUUCUUUUGAUUUCUCGAAUGGAAUUGUAAUGAUAAGAUUUUCCCAUGCUAGAAGGUGGACCAGGUGAUUGAGUUGGAUUUGGACUUGUAGGUACUUCUCUUUUGAUUCCUCCGACGAAGUUGUAAUCAUAAGAUUUGUCCAUGUUAAGAACUGGAUCAGGUGAUUGAGAUGGAUUUGGACCAGUAUAUACUUCUCUUUUGAUUUCUCUAAUAAAGUUGUAAUCAUAAGAUUUUUCCACACUAGAAGAUGGAUCAGGUGAUUGCGAUGGAUUUGGACCAGGAGGUACUUCUCUUUUGAUUCCUAUAACGAAGUUGUAAUCAUAAGAUUUUUUCAUGCUAGAAGGUGGAUCUGGUGAUUGAGCUGGAUUUGGACCAGUAGGUACUUUUCUUUUGAUUUCUCUAACGAUGUAGUAAUCAUAAGAUUUGUCCAUGCUAAGAAAUGGAUAAGGUGGUUGAGCUAGAUUUGGACCAGUGGGUA
RNAcentral lists this long non-coding RNA (714 nucleotides) under Lathyrus oleraceus (garden pea). RNAcentral's name for it is "Pisum sativum (pea) long non-coding RNA (PSAT_LNC038642)". Lineage: Eukaryota; Viridiplantae; Streptophyta; Magnoliopsida; Fabales; Fabaceae. The record is from RNAcentral.